AUUGAACGCUAGCGGGAUGCUUUAAACAUGCAAGUCGAACGAGUGGCGGACGUGUGAGUAAUAUAUCGGAACGUGCUCCGUAGCGGGGGAUAACUACUCGACCGAGGGGCUAUUCCCGCAUACCUUUGGAGCGGAGGAUAAGGGAUUAGCUAGUUGGUAGGGUAAAGGAUCACCAAGGCAACGAUCCGUAGCUGAUUUGAGAGGACGACCAGCCACACUGGGACUGAGAAACGGUCCAGACUCCUACGGGAGGAAGCAGUGGGGAAUUUUGGGCAAUGGGGGAAACCCUGAUCCAGCCAUCCCGCGUGAAUGAGAAGGCCUUCGGGUUGUAAAGUACUUUUAGCAGGGAAGCGGUAUCUGCUGAGUAAGCACCGGCUAACUACGUGCCAGCCGCCGCGGUAAUAC
This 405-nucleotide ribosomal RNA is filed under the name uncultured bacterium. RNAcentral's name for it is "partial 16S ribosomal RNA". It matches the Rfam family "Bacterial small subunit ribosomal RNA", at positions 30 to 526 of the family's 1533-position model. The record is from RNAcentral.